Molecule: ribosomal RNA, 466 nt
Filed under: uncultured bacterium
Lineage: Bacteria
Description: partial 16S ribosomal RNA
Rfam family: Bacterial small subunit ribosomal RNA
Source: RNAcentral
GAUGAACGCUGGCGGCGUGCUUAAUACAUGCAAGUCGAACGAUGAAGCCCAGAUUGCUGGGCGGUUUAGUGGCGAACGGGUGAGUAACACGUGAGUAACCUGCCUUUAACUCUGGGUUAAGCAAGGGAAACUGGGCCUAAUACCGGCUAGGUGCGUCUAACGAACGGAGGGUGCUGGAGAGAUUGAUCGGUUUUGGAUGGAUUCGCGGCCUAUCAGCUUGUUGGUGAGGUAUUGGCUGACUAAGGCGUCGACAGGUAGCCGGCAUGAGAAGGUGACCGGCCACACUGCGACUAAGACACGGCCCAGACGCCUACGUGAGGCAGCGGUGGGAAAUAUUACACAGUGGGCGCAAGCCUGAGACAGCGGCGCCGCGUGAGGGAUAACGGCCUUCUAGUUGUAAACCUCUUUCAGUAGAGAAGAAGCGAAAGUGACGGUACCUGCAGAAGAAGCACCGGCUAACUACGUG